AGCGGGAAAAGCUCAAAUUUAAAAUCUGGCAGAUGUUUGUCUGUCCGAGUUGUAACCUAGAGAAGUGUAACCUGUGCUGGCCGUGUACAAGUCUCCUGGAAUGGAGCAUCAUAGAGGGUGAGAAUCCCGUCUUUGACAUGGACUACCAGUGCACUGUGGUUGCGCACUCAACGAGUCGAGUUGUUUGGGAAUGCAGCUCUAAAUGGGUGGUAAAUUCCAUCUAAAGCUAAAUAUUGGCGAGAGACCGAUAGCGAACAAGUACCGUGAGGGAAAGAUGAAAAGAACUUUGGAAAGAGAGUUAAACAGUAUGUGAAAUUGUUGAAAGGGAAACACUUGAAGUCAGCUGCAUUGGCUGGGGAUCAAGCCAGCUUAUUUGCUGGGUGUACUUCCUGGUUGAUGGGCCAACAUCAGUUUUGACCAUCAGAGAAAGGCUAAGGGAAUGUGGCACCUUUAUAGGUGUGUUAUAGCCCUUGGUUGUAUGUGGUGGAUGGGACUGAGGA
RNAcentral lists this ribosomal RNA (500 nucleotides) under Amanita phalloides. RNAcentral describes it as "eukaryotic LSU rRNA". It matches the Rfam family "Eukaryotic large subunit ribosomal RNA", at positions 97 to 594 of the family's 3401-position model. Lineage: Eukaryota; Fungi; Basidiomycota; Agaricomycetes; Agaricales; Amanitaceae. The record is from RNAcentral.